RNAcentral lists this ribosomal RNA (245 nucleotides) under uncultured bacterium. RNAcentral describes it as "partial 16S ribosomal RNA". It matches the Rfam family "Bacterial small subunit ribosomal RNA", at positions 791 to 1035 of the family's 1533-position model. The record is from RNAcentral.
UAGUCCACGCUGUAAACGAUGUCGACUUGGAGGUUGUUCCCUUGAGGAGUGGCUUCCGGAGCUAACGCGUUAAGUCGACCGCCUGGGGAGUACGGCCGCAAGGUUAAAACUCAAAUGAAUUGACGGGGGCCCGCACAAGCGGUGGAGCAUGUGGUUUAAUUCGAUGCAACGCGAAGAACCUUACCUACUCUUGACAUCCAGAGAACUUAGCAGAGAUGCUUUGGUGCCUUCGGGAACUCUGAGAC